GACAAUGGGCGGAACCCUGAUCCAGCCAUGCCGCGUGUGUGAAGAAGGCCUUUUGGUUGUAAAGCACUUUAAGCGAGGAGGAGGCUACCUGGAUUAAUACUCUAGGAUAGUGGACGUUACUCGCAGAAUAAGCACCGGCUAACUCUGUGCCAGCAGCCGCGGUAAUACAGAGGGUGCGAGCGUUAAUCGGAUUUACUGGGCGUAAAGCGUGCGUAGGCGGCUGAUUAAGUCGGAUGUGAAAUCCCUGAGCUUAACUUAGGAAUUGCAUUCGAUACUGGUCAGCUAGAGUAUGGGAGAGGAUGGUAGAAUUCCAGGUGUAGCGGUGAAAUGCGUAGAGAUCUGGAGGAAUACCGAUGGCGAAGGCAGCCAUCUGGCCUAAUACUGACGCUGAGGUACGAAAGCAUGGGGAGCAAACAGGAUUAGAUACCCUGGUAGUCCAUGCCGUAAACGAUGUCUACUAGCCGUUGGGGCCUUUGAGGCUUUAGUGGCGCAGCUAACGCGAUAAGUAGACCGCCUGGGGAGUACGGUCGCAAGACUAAAACUCAAAUGAAUUGACGGGGGCCCGCACAAGCGGUGGAGCAUGUGGUUUAAUUCGAUGCAACGCGAAGAACCUUACCUGGCCUUGACAUAGUAGAAACUUUCCAGAGAUGGAUUGGUGCCUUCGGGAAUCUACAUACAGGUGCUGCAUGGCUGUCGUCAGCUCGUGUCGUGAGAUGUUGGGUUAAGUCCCGCAACGAGCGCAACCCUUUUCCUUACUUGCCAGCAUUUCGGAUGGGAACUUUAAGGAUACUGCCAGUGACAAACUGGAGGAAGGCGGGGACGACGUCAAGUCAUCAUGGCCCUUACGGCCAGGGCUACACACGUGCUACAAUGGUCGGUACAAAGGGUUGCUACCUAGCGAUAGGAUGCUAAUCUCAAAAAGCCGAUCGUAGUCCGGAUUGGAGUCUGCAACUCGACUCCAUGAAGUCGGAAUCGCUAGUAAUCGCGGAUCAGAAUGCCGCGGUGAAUACGUUCCCGGGCCUUGUA
Molecule: ribosomal RNA, 1026 nt
Filed under: Acinetobacter sp. BCH290703A
Lineage: Bacteria; Pseudomonadati; Pseudomonadota; Gammaproteobacteria; Moraxellales; Moraxellaceae
Description: bacterial SSU rRNA
Rfam family: Bacterial small subunit ribosomal RNA
Source: RNAcentral